UUGAAUAAAUGAAUGAUUUUAUUAUGAUUUUAUUUACUGCGUUAUAUAAAUGUUAACAUAAUAAAAAUCCUUAGAGUAUUGAUACAAAUUAUAUAGUUUCAAGUAUGUGACUUGAACAUGAGUUUAUAUAAUUACAAUUAGUAUCAUUGUUCUUAAAUGUCCCUAGUCGAGUAUCAUUGUUGAUGGGACAACAAUGAUGCAUUAAGACUAGUAUGUGGAUUGACUAAUGAC
RNAcentral lists this long non-coding RNA (231 nucleotides) under Panax ginseng (ginseng). Its description in RNAcentral is "long non-coding RNA (PGIN_LNC010122)". The record is from RNAcentral. Lineage: Eukaryota; Viridiplantae; Streptophyta; Magnoliopsida; Apiales; Araliaceae.